AGUUUAAAACAACUGGAACAGUGACAAACAAGGCUGGAAGAGGUCCCAAGUUUAUCUUGCCACAACGCACAGUGAGGAGGAUGCUAAGAGAAGUAAAAAAAGUCCUAAGCUCACUGUCACAGAAUUGCAUCAAAGAGUGGCAUCUUGGGGUCACAAAGUCUCCAAAACAACCAUCAGACGCUCUCUACAUGCCAACAAGCUGUUUGGGAGGCAUGCAAGAAAAAAGCCUUUUCUCACUAACACUCACAAACGUAAAUGUCUGGAGUUUGCUAAGCGGCACUGGGACUUCAACUGGGAUUGUGUGCUUUGGUCAGAUGAGACUAAGAUUGAGCUUUUUGACAACAAACACUCCAAGUGGGUCUGGCGUAAAACAAAAGAUGAGUAUGCCAAAAAGUACCUCAUGCCCACCGUGAAGUAUGGUGGAGGAUCUGUGAUGCUGUGGGCCUGUUUCUCUUCCAAAGGCCCUGGGAACCUUGUUUGGGUGCAUGGCAUUAUGAACGCUUUGAACUACCAGGACAUUUUGAAUAAAAACCUGAUGGAGAGUGCAUAAGAGAGGACCCAGGAUACUGGAUGAUCUAGAAAGAUUGUGCAAAGAAGAAUGGUCAAAGAUCCCUCUCUCUGUGUUCUCCAAUCUUGUGAAAUGUUAUAGGAGGAGAUUAAGUGAUGUCUUGUUGGCAAAAGGGGGUUGUACAAAGUAUUAACAUCAGGGGUGCCAAUAAUUGUGGGACACAUGAUUUCAAGGUGGGUUUUUUUUCUAUUU
Molecule: long non-coding RNA, 760 nt
Organism: Rhinichthys klamathensis goyatoka
Lineage: Eukaryota; Metazoa; Chordata; Actinopteri; Cypriniformes; Leuciscidae
Exons: 2
Source: RefSeq, a predicted model, not a curated record